UCCCAGACUCCUACGGGAGGCAGCAGUGGGGAAUAUUGCACAAUGGGGGGAACCCUGAUGCAGCGACGCCGCGUGGGCGAGGAAGUAUUUCGGUAUGUAAAGCCCUAUCGGCAGGGAAGAAGAAAUGACGGUACCUGAAUAAGAAGCACCGGCUAAAUACGUGCCAGCAGCCGCGGUAAUACGUAUGGUGCAAGCGUUAUCCGGAUUUACUGGGCGUAAAGGGAGCGUAGACGGCAGUGCAAGUCCGGAGUGAAAGCCCGGGGCUCAACCCUGGGACUGCUCUGGAAACUGUAAAGCUGGAGUGCGGGAGGGGCAGGCGGAAUUCCUGGUGUAGCGGUGAAAUGCGUAGAUAUCAGGAGGAACACCGGUGGCGAAGGCGGCCUGCUGGACUGCAACUGACGUUGAGGCCCGAAAGCGUGGGGAGCAAACAGGAUUAGAUACCCUAGUA
This 448-nucleotide ribosomal RNA is filed under the name uncultured bacterium. Its description in RNAcentral is "partial 16S ribosomal RNA". It matches the Rfam family "Bacterial small subunit ribosomal RNA", at positions 329 to 792 of the family's 1533-position model. The record is from RNAcentral.